This is a long non-coding RNA of Oenanthe melanoleuca, 819 nucleotides long. RefSeq lists it as uncharacterized. The record is from RefSeq and is a predicted model, not a curated record. Lineage: Eukaryota; Metazoa; Chordata; Aves; Passeriformes; Muscicapidae. The transcript is spliced from 2 exons.
CAUCGCGAAAAGCUUUUGUACAGAGACAGCCCCAAAGCAUGUCUUGGUUUGUUAAAGGACAGUGUUACUCCAAUAACACUUUUCCUCAAAUCGGAAAAAAAUUUAUUACCAGGGUAGCAAAUGAGUGCUGCACAGACUGGCAUCUUGUCAUACCAAGAAUCCUACCCUCUGGACAAUUUACUAUUAAGAACCUACGGUCAGUGGGGAUCACCUUCCCCUUUUGUAAGUAACCACCAAAAUGCAAUAAAUCCAUUAACUUAAAAGAAUCAGCCUUGUCAGUCAGACUUGGAAAUAAGUUUAUUUGAUUACAGAAAUUUAAGGCCUAAAAUUUGCUUUCAAGAUAAUACAGUUUCCUAUCAGAAUCUCUUAUCUAAAGGCAACACUUAGCAGUAAUUGCUGUUGCAUUGUUAAGCCUUACGCUGUAAAUAAAUACAAAGGUAUUUACAGUUCAACCUGAUUACCUCGCUUUUGAGCUGUGCUUCCCUUCCAAAACAAUGAUCCAAUGUUUAGAAAACACCUUCAGCAGAUGGAAUGAACUGGAGGGAGUGUGUCAUCUUUGAACGCGUUGGCUUAGAAUGCUUUUAUUUAAGUAUGGCAUAGUCUUUGCUUUUUCGUGCUAGUACCUCUACAAAGAUUACCGGCCUUAUUUACAUUUAUUUGUUUGCUAAGUUGGGUAAGAGAACCUCAAACGCUCCUUUGCUCGCUUGUGGUAAAGCUGAUGAGGAGGACGAGCAAAGCUGAGCGCCUUCGCUCCGGGGACAUAUUUUAAUUGCUGCUCUCUGUUUUUCCGCAGCAAAGGGAAAUAAAAUGUUACCUGUU